Long non-coding RNA from Oncorhynchus keta (chum salmon), 1131 nucleotides. RefSeq lists it as uncharacterized. The transcript is spliced from 4 exons. The record is from RefSeq and is a predicted model, not a curated record. Lineage: Eukaryota; Metazoa; Chordata; Actinopteri; Salmoniformes; Salmonidae.
CGUUCUGGCAUUACGGCAGGCUGAUACAAUCAUGUCUGGUCCUGUGAUGAUACCAAGGGCCAACAAUGGGUCAGGGUGAAAUACAAACCAUGCUGGGGUAGUUUGAGGUCAGUUAAGUAGCAAACCAUGCUGGGGUAGUUUGAGGUCAGUUAAGUAGAAAACCAUGCUGGGGUAGUUUGAGGUCAGUUAAGUAGAAAACCAUGCUGGGGUAGUUUGAGGUCAGUUAAGUAGAAAACCAUGCUGGGGUAGUUUGAGGUCAGUUAAGUAGAAAACCAUGCUGGGGUAGUUUGAGGUCAGUUAAGUAGAAAACCAUGCUGGGGUAGUUUGAGGUCAGUUAAGUAGAAAACCAUGCUGGGGUAGUUUGAGGUCAGUUAAGUAGAAAACCAUGCUGGGGUAGUUUGAGGUCAGUUAAGUAGAAAACCAUGCUGGGGUAGUUUGAGGUCAGUUAAGUAGAAAACCAUGCUGGGGUAGUUUGAGGUCAGUUAAGUAGAAAACCAUGCUGGGGUAGUUUGAGGUCAGUUAAGUAGAAAACCAUGCUGGGGUAGUUUGAGGUCAGUUAAGUAGAAAACCAUGCUGGGGUAGUUUGAGGUCAGUUAAGUAGAAAACCAUGCUGGGGUAGUUUGAGGUCAGUUAAGUAGAAAACCAUGCUGGGGUAGUUUGAGGUCAGUUAAGUAGAAAACCAUGCUGGGGUAGUUUGAGGUCAGUUAAGUAGAAAACCAUGCUGGGGUAGUUUGAGGUCAGUUAAGUAGAAAACCAUGCUGGGGUAGUUUGAGGUCAGUUAAGUAGAAAACCAUGCUGGGGUAGUUUGAGGUCAGUUAAGUAGAAAACCAUGCUGGGGUAGUUUGAGGUCAGUUAAGUAGAAAACCAUGCUGGGGUAGUUUGAGGUCAGUUAAGUAGAAAACCAUGCUGGGGUAGUUUGAGGUCAGUUAAGUAGAAAACCAUGCUGGGGUAGUUUGAGGUCAGUUAAGUAGAAAACCAUGCUGGGGUAGUUUGAGGUCAGUUAAGUAGAAAACCAUGCUGGGGUAGUUUGAGGUCAGUUAAGUAGAAAACCAUGCUGGGGUAGUUUGAGGUCAGUUAAGUAGAAAACCAUGCUGGGGUAGUUUGAGGUCAGUUAAGUAGCAAACCAUGCUG